CGGCUUCCCAGGGGGCCGGCUGACUCUGAUCACGGAAGUCUCCACGCCAGGAGAGGAGCUAAGCGGCAGGGAGAGGGAGGCCAGCGAAGCGAGAGUCACGGGGGACCUCUGGGGGCAGGGUGCCCGGAGGAAGGAAGCUGACAGGGUGGAGGUGACACGUGAGAACACGACCUCAGCUGAGCAGAAAAAACACCAUCGCACCCAGGGUUCUUCCAGUGUCCUUACAGACAAGAGAACCGAGGCAGACAGGGCACAGCACACAGCUGUGGGGCUCAGCCCAGGCCACAGUGCAGCCACAUCUGGGCUGACUCCGCGUCUUAAGCGCUUCUAAUGAGCCUUGAACUCUCAGCUCCAGGACACACACUGUGCCCAUCCUGGUGGCUCGUCUCCCAGCGGACGGCCCCUCCCUUGGCUGACAGCACGCAUCCUCCAUCCUCCAGUCAGGGACAAACAGCUCUGACCACUGGCCCCUGUCUCCUCACCAAAGUUUCUGUUCCGAGAGGUCAGGCCUCAAGUGGAGCCAGGAGCGAGAUUUAGCGUCAGAGGACAAAGGCAGCCUAGCAGAGCACCCGCCACCGGUUCCCCUCUGCACCCUUUCUCCAGCCCCCUGCGCGGACAGAUCUUCCUGGGCCGCAGCCUCAGCGGGUCACACGCAGCCCUCCAGCGGCCUGUGCCUUGACCCUCUCUCUUGUAUCCAAAGGGUAAAGCCCGACCUCCAAGGCCAGAGGCUCUUGAUCACUUAUCACCAGUCUGCCUGAGUAGCACAAAAGUCACAUUUGUAUUUCCUGGCAUUUCCGGGGCUUGCUGCCAUCCCUGCAAAGGCCAGAACAAACACAAGCAUAGCUCAAACCCAGCCUGUGACAGUGGCUCCGGCCGGGCCACACUGGGCUCACUCUGAGCCCACAAAUAACCUGGAGGGAGUGGCUUUCCGCUGGGGAGUGGUGAGUGAGUCUGGGACGGCAGCUGGUGCUGGGGGAGGGGGUGUGCAGGCCUGCGCCACCCAGUGAGACCACAGGGCGCUGUUCUUCCGCCACAGGAACGGUCAUGCCACCAACACUCAGUCCUAAACCCGGUGCUCUGACAGAGGUCUGGAACUGGUGCCGGAGAGGGUGAGCUGGGGAGGCUUUCAGCAGAGCUACACCAAGUGCAGCACCAUCUGUGUGGACUUAUUUCGUACUCAGCCGGGGGAAGCGAUGGCAAGACCCCAAAAUGGGGGAAAAUUCUAGUCACUCCUCCAUUUUCACUUCUGGAGAUUUGCUAGUUUCUGCUGGAAACCUCACAUUAUUUUAUUUUUAAAAAUUAAAGGGAAAAUUAUACACGAGAUCUGCGUCAUACUAAGGAUGACCUUCUCUGCAAAGAAAUACGACAGACUCAUAGCUCCAGGCACCUAAUUUAAUUUCCUCUGGGGUUAGACCUGGGAGCCUCGGACUGAACAAACAGGCCCUGUUCUUUGUGUAUGUCAGAGCUGGAGCUGAGAACGUGAACAGAUCUGAUCAACAGGACACCGGAGACGAACAGCGACGACGGCGCAGCUCCGACGCAGCUGUGGGAAAACCCGCAGAGGGCCAGGUCCGGGCUCCUCAGGCUCACCGGGUCCCUGUGGAGUGGCCUGGCCCAGCCACAAACAAAGCUGGGAGUGACUAUGACAGUGGAGCUGUCAUUCCACAGACUCCAGCGGAGGUCCUGCACGGGAUGGGACUCUCAUCCUCAGUUUGCAGGGCAGUGGGUGCCAAGAGGGAGGGGAGACGGUAUGCAGGACUCCAGAAUAAGACGUGACAGGUGGCGGCAGACACCUCUGCAAGCCUGCAUGCACGGGGCUGGCUUUUCUCUCUCUCCUGAUGAGACAGAUCCUUGGUACGAUACUAGAACUGGCUUCACCCAAUGGCCUGGAAAACCAGCAACCCCAACCGCAGCCAGCCACACGUCUCCAGGCCACAUGCUCAGUUCAGCCGGACAGGAGCCCCACGUGUCACAGACACACAGCCUCAAGAAGCCAGGCUGGCCAACUGCAAGGGAAGGCAAGCCAUGCCCCAAGAUGGCUUAAGUGCGGCCAGUAAGGAAAAUUUCUAGGUCAGCCUGAUGACUGCGUACACUUCAACCACUGCUCGAUUAAAACACAGAACGAACAACAAAGACAGUUCCUCUAGACUAGAAACAAGCAACAAAGAUGAUGAUAAUAAUGACAAUGAUAACUGCACUCUUGAAGAGCAGGGUAUAAAACGCUUAAGUUUGUGCACAAAGAACCCUGGGAGCAAGGAGACCCUCUAGUGAGAGACGCCCUAAGCACAGCUGAGCAGUGCACUCCCGAAGCUGUUGGAAACACGGAGGCGUGAGGAGACGGAAGCCCCUGAGUCAGAGUACCAGGGCAAGGCCCAGGCACCUGCAUAUUAAAACACGCACCCUAGGCUCUCAUGGUGGAUGAGCACUGCAAAAUGGGCUCAGGGGGAAGGGGAGUUCGGGGACAGGCUUCACCAACAGUUGGUGGCUGCAGCUCCACCACCAUCUGACUAGCCGAGCCAGGAGGGGAGACAGGGGCUGCCCCUGCUCACUCCUACCUCUGACCAAGGAGGGGCCUGGAAUCCAGGUUAGCAAAUUAUUCCAACAGCCUCGCACCAGGUGCCUUAGGACAGCGUGGCUGGUUGGUGGUCAGGGAGGAUUGUCAACAACUUUUCAAUUCUCCAGGCCCCAACAAGUUCCAGAAAGGAACCUGAAAAGGGAUCUUUUGUCUGCGCCUGCCCUGGGCAGGCCGGCUGUGCUGCAGGCAGGGGCCUAGCUGCUGCAGAGCUGACGCCAAUUCAAAUGUCUGUGGUCAAUGAUAUUUCUGAGUGGCUGACAAUGCCCACUCCUUCCCCUUGGUAUGACAAUCCGCACUCUGUCCAGGUCCUUGCGUGCUCUGUGUUGACAUGCUGUUCCUGCUUCCCAGCAAGUUGAGCUUUCUCUUCCCUCCCUUUCCUCCUCGCAGGGAAGGAAAUGCGCUGUUGACAGCGGCCGGGCCUGCCAAGGUGCCACUGCAGCACCCAGAAUGGCAGCAGAGGAGGCAGGCACAAGCAAGCAGCUCCGUCUGUGACCCUUCUCCUCACCCAGGCCAGACAAAAGCCAGGACAUAGCCUGCAGGCACCCCCAACCGCACCGGGAGGGGGCAGAGCCAUGUGCUUGUGGGCAGCGGGGCCCAGUGGGGCCUCCAACAGGCCGAACUUAUUUCCUGUUCCCAGUGGGUGGCCAGAAGCAGGCUCAGACUCCUGCUCUGCUUGCUGCUGGGGACACAGUGGUGAGUUACAGCCCUCCCUUCCCCAGGCACGCUGCUGGACUUUAAAUCUUCUAGGCAGAGCCCUGCACAGUGAAGAACCUGGACAGCCCAAGCAGAGGUCUCCAGGGACAGCAGGCGAUGUGACCCCUCUGUGACCUCUGGGCCUGGUGGGCUGGGCUCUGCUCACAAGACUGACACCCAGCCACGACAGGCGUCCGCAGUUUGGGGACACGGGUAAGCGGGGCAGAAGAGGGCCUUGGCAGGCUCCAAAGACCCUUUUGCGGUGCUCAGGUUGGCUGACAGACCUUCCAGUCCCAGCAAGGGUGAGCAGCAGGGGUGGGGCAGACGGGAAAGCGGGCAGGGGUAGGGCUGCCCUUGCUCUCGCCUCUGCGGCUCCUCGCAGAGGCACAGCUGUCUGCCCGGCACGCGGGCUCCUGUGCGUCUGCACGCCCGCAGCCCGCCUCUCCCGGCCCGGGUCUCUCAGGACGGAGGAACGGAGGGGACGAGUGCUGGCACAGGAGACGGUGGGUGAAGGGGUCGCUCGGGGCCAUUCCUUGAGCUCUGGACAAGGGCUCAGGGUCCCUAGCCCGCCUUUCCGUCUCAGCCUCUCUGCUGUCGCUCUGCCCCCGAGCAUGCAGGGUGUCUGUGCCUUGCUUUCCACCAGGAGAUAACAGGUCUGGGCUGGGCGCCAGCGCCAGGUGCCAAGGCUGUGAGUGAGGCCUCCCGGGCUGAUGCAAGAAAGUCCUCUCUGCCUCUCCCACUUCAGCUGGGACUCCCUGGGCGAGUUCAAGCCGCAGCCAAGAGAACACACGUCUCGGCUUCCCUGCACCCUGGGUCUGCUGCGUUCUGCUCCUUCCUGCUCCUCUGCCCCGAACAGGCUUGAGCACACAGCCCUAGGUAACACCCGCCCUGCAGCACGGGUCAAAGAUGCCUUUGUGCUGGGCUCACACCGAGGGGUCUGGGCCCUUCCUGGUGUGGCCGAGCGGGCCCCACCUGUGACUGUAAGUCUGACCCUAGCCUCCAAGAAUCCUGCAGACUCCCAGGGUGACAGCCACACCCCAGAAGAGACCUAGAGGCCCUCAAGUCCUUACAAGCCCAGCUUCCCACAAGCUAGGGAGCUGCCUGUGACCACAGAGGCAGACCCUAAAGGGGAGGAGAGCCGGCCUGCAGAUGUGGAAACUGCUGACUGCCUGUGGGGGGGUAGGGGGGAGGGGAGGGGGCUGGUGUGGGUGUUGGCUCCAGGGCUGAGACCCUGGUGCCUGGGGGUAGGGGAGGUUUCCAGAGUUCCUUGCAAAGGGCCUGAGAAACCCCUCGGUGAUGGAGGGAGCAUGCCUGGGAUGUGGGGCCUCGGCCAGCCUUCCCGAGCUCUCCUGCGAGCAGGCCCGUGGUGGACCACACUAAUGAGCCCGUAACAUAGGCCUCUGAUUAAGCAGCUCCCAGCACAGCAACUUUAUUGAAACACGCUGAGGGCAGUGGCUGUUCCCACUGCUUCCUGGUUCCCUGGGCAACAGCCCGCGGCACCAAGUGCCCUAGCUCAAUGAGGCGCUGCCGGGGAGCGAGGUGUUGGGAAUACCAGGAGCCAGAGGGCCAGGAGAUUGGGAUUUUCUAUGGGGUUCAGAAGCUCCCUUCCAGAGGAGUGAGGGGCCACAUGACACUGGCUGAGUCCUCCAGGGCCUACAGUUCUGGGGCGCCUGAAAACCCAUGACGCCGAUCACCCCACCGCUCAGGCCAGGGAAACAUUCCCGGGGUUUGGCAGGGCUCUAAGGGCAAGUUCAGAGUUGAAGAUACGACAUAAAACUGGAUGGACUUCACCCCCAAAGCAUGGGAACCUUCAGUACACGCACGGGCGGGGGCACUUGUGCUCAGAGCGUGUGCAUGCCGUCAUUUCCUCGAAUGGCAGCCUGCGGACUCAGGAGUCGGGGCCUCUUGCGGUCUUCCCCAGCAGCUCCGCCAGGGAAGAGCCAGCCCCACCCCCAUGUUCUUGGCAGAGGUGGCAGGCCGGGGCAUAGCCGGGCUUAGGAGGAAGGGGACUUCCACUUGUGCUGUGCUAAUUGCAGUGUUACAUUUUAGAGCUUUUGCUACAGUAACAACCAAUACCACGUGGACAGAAAUCUAAUGUUACCAAGUGGGACUUUUAAAAUGUAUUUAUAACUUUAUAGUUCAAAGUAAUUUUGUUAUGAAACAAUGUAAUAACAACAGUGGAAAAAGGCAAGAUAAUUUAUGGAACACAAUA
Chinchilla lanigera (long-tailed chinchilla) is the source of this 5480-nucleotide long non-coding RNA. RefSeq lists it as uncharacterized. Lineage: Eukaryota; Metazoa; Chordata; Mammalia; Rodentia; Chinchillidae. The transcript has 2 exons. The record is from RefSeq and is a predicted model, not a curated record.